GUGUUUUGUGGGGGGCGGGGGUGUUGCAGGAGUAGUGGCGGAAGAGACCGAGCUCUGUGCUCCUCCUGUCCGGAGGCGGUUGUUUUCCGAAAUGGAAAGAACUGAAAAUAAAUAAACCUUCUGUUUGAGUGAAGUUUCCUUUCGGAUUCCAGCGUUGUUUUCAUCUCUGUGUCCUCUAGCAAGUCAGCAUCCAGAAGACUAGAAGAGAAAAAAAAAAUAACUCAACAUUCAACAACAAGAAGCAAGAAGGAGUGAACAGUGUGUGCUCGUCUGCUGAAGAAAGCACGGGUUCGAGUUUGUGUGGGCGCGCUUUGGGCGAUUUUUCAUUUACAUUCGUGUACGACGAGGGCGACGGCGGCUACCACCACCCCCACCACCACCGGAAAAGUGUAAAAAGAUCCCAAGUGUGGGAGGGAAGAGGAAAAACCGGGUUGGCGGAAAAUCAAACGUCUGUUGCCUGUCUCCCAGAAGAGAAGAAUUAGAAGAAAAGGGGAAAAACGGUUGGCGUUUCUUUGCCAUCGGGGGUUGGAGCAGCGGCGCAGCACGUAUGAUCUGGGUGAAAAAGGCAGCCUACAGUCGUCCGAAGAAAAGUGGAAAAUAGAAUGAUGCUGUCAAACAUGUUGGAUUUACGACCCGCGUUGGUGUUGACGCUCCUCACGACGAUAGAUUUCGUGAUCCCACUGAAGGAUGUCCGCGUGAGCGUGCCGGCAGCCAUCCGGCGAGGCGAUAAUGCAAAUUUGAUCUGCGAUUACGACAUGGAAGGGGACACACUCUACUCCGUCAAGUGGUACAAAGGCAAGCGGGAGUUUUUCCGCUACCGGCCGAAGGAGAAUCCAUCGCUGAAGACGUUCCCGGUACUUGGCAUCACCGUCGAGCGUUCGCAGUCCAACGGAAGUUAUUUGACGCUGACCGCAGUGGAGCCAACGAUGUCCGGUCGUUACACUUGCGAAGUGUCCGCAGAUGCGCCCUCCUUCCACACAAUGAUUGUCUCCAGCGAGAUGGAAGUUGUGAAUAUUCCCAUGAGCAAACCGCUCAUCUCGGGACUGAAGCCGUACUACCGGAUAGGAGACCUGCUAAUGGGAAACUGUACAUCUUACUAUUCGAAACCUGCGGCCAAUCUGACGUGGCUCGUCAAUGGCAAUGAGGUCAGCCCGAAGCAGACGGUCCUGUACUCCAUCGUUCGGGAUCCGGACAAUGGUCUGGAAACGUCCAUCCUGGGAUUGUUCUUCCAAGUCACCAAUUACUAUGUGGGCCGCAGCAAGCUGAAGUUCACAUGUGUGGCCCGAAUUUACAACGUGUACGAGCAGCGCACCGAGCGGACCCUGGAAGACGAACGGCCCAACAUGCUGGCAGCGUCAGCGUCGGCGUCCGCAUCACCGGUGGGCCUCAACGUGAACAACCACCACAUCCACUCGCUGUACGAACAAUUUCCGGCGUCUUCCUAUCACCACCUCGACAGCGGCGGCGGGGGCGGCGAUUUCGACAAUCAAAACAGCGAUGCCUACAUGA
Aedes albopictus (Asian tiger mosquito) is the source of this 1509-nucleotide RNA transcript. RefSeq lists it as uncharacterized. NCBI's taxonomy places the organism in Eukaryota, Metazoa, Arthropoda, Insecta, Diptera, Culicidae. The transcript is spliced from 6 exons. The record is from RefSeq and is a predicted model, not a curated record.